Molecule: ribosomal RNA, 497 nt
Filed under: uncultured bacterium
Lineage: Bacteria
Description: bacterial SSU rRNA
Rfam family: Bacterial small subunit ribosomal RNA
Source: RNAcentral
GAUCAUGGCUCAGAUUGAACGCUGGGCGGAAUGCUUUACACAUGCAAGUCGAACGGUAACAGGUCUUCGGAUGCUGACGAGUGGCGAACGGGUGAGUAAUAUAUCGGAACGUGCCCAGUCGGUGGGGGAUAACGUAGCGAAAGUUACGCUAAUACCGCAUACGAUCUAUGGAUGAAAGCGGGGGAUCGCAAGACCUCGCGCGAUUGGAGCGGCCGAUGUCAGAUUAGCUAGUUGGUGGGGUAAAGGCCCACCAAGGCGACGAUCUGUAGCUGGUCUGAGAGGACGACCAGCCACACUGGGACUGAGACACGGCCCAGACUCCUACGGGAGGCAGCAGUGGGGAAUUUUGGACAAUGGGCGCAAGCCUGAUCCAGCAAUGCCGCGUGCAGGAAGAAGGCCUUCGGGUUGUAAACUGCUUUUGUACGGAACGAAAAGGCUCUGGUUAAUACCUGGGGCUCAUGACGGUACCGUAAGAAUAAGCACCGGCUAACUACGUG